Sycon ciliatum is the source of this 639-nucleotide long non-coding RNA. RefSeq lists it as uncharacterized. The record is from RefSeq and is a predicted model, not a curated record. NCBI's taxonomy places the organism in Eukaryota, Metazoa, Porifera, Calcarea, Leucosolenida, Sycettidae. The transcript is spliced from 2 exons.
ACACUAGUGCCAGGCAGUAGUGGGCCUUUGUAUGCAUUAUGUCGAACAAGGUUUCCCCACUAUCCUUCUCCUUCUCAAUGCCUGUGUUUUAUAAAAGAAACAAAAAGUUUGGCUGUGAUAAGAGCAGAACUCAUGUUGAGUUAGCUUGGAGAAGCGCUGGUGCGUGCGAGGCCGGGCCCCCAGCAGCCUUAGUCACACAGUAGGCGACAGCCUACCUGUACUAUGAUAUCGCCAUUAUCGGCAACCAUUGACUUUGGCCGAAGCAUUCUCCUUUCGUAUGGGUGGAUGGCGGCCAUCGCAGCAGCCAGAUGAGGAGAAGGAGGACAGUCAGCAGCAAGCCAGCAAGAAGCAAGCCGGCGGAGAAAAUUCAUGCGAAGAAAAUUCUAAAAUAAUAGCCAUCCCGAACCCCGACCACCAUCCCCUACCAGAAAAAUUACUUAUAUAGCCUACCCUAGCUCAGAGAUUCACACUUGAUGAUUGGUCAACUGUCCCCGGCCAAUCAGAGUCUAGCACAUAGGUCAUGAAAUCGAGUCACUUAGCACUUCCUGUGACCAUUUUGACCAGUGUAGGCCUAUCUAUUCACACAGAAUAAGUAAUGAUUCACUGAAUCCUGAAAUAGACUCUGAUUGACAUGUUGAA